GACUUUAUAAGACUGUUGGUGAGGGCUGUGGCAAUGUCCACAUGGGUGGUAUGGGAGCUCAUGGGAGGUGAGUUCCUGGAAUAUGGCUUAUAAUAGGGUCUGUUCCCUGCUAGGAGGCCCAUACCCAUAGCUGAAUUCCCCAGGAUUUCCCCCACCUUGGGCCCAAGGCAUCAGAACUGACGCCCUGAGAGGUUUGGAUGUGUGUGUGUCUGUGGAUGUGUGGUAUAUAUGUGUAUUUUAAGUCAUUUGCUUCCACCCCCAACAGUAUCCCUGUCUAUUAACAGAAUGAGGGAGAGAAAGAGAGAAAAAGAGAGAUUGGGACAGAACCAAAAAGAGAGAUUUCCAGGAAAGGAAGAAAGUUAGAUAGCUCUCCCCAACCCCCUCCCACCCUUACCACGAAAAUACCGUCUGGGAUUAAACUCUAUGUGAAGAUUAGAGGUGUGGGAGAGACAUUAGGAGAAACUGUUUCUCACGUCAAGAACAGGAGGAAGCACAACGCCUAUAUGAGAACACCGGAAACGACAAAUUACACACACAGAGUGAGCCAGUCCAUCAGAAGAAGAGGGAUCAGCCAGGGAGCCAAGCGGGAAAGGGCAGUCUUGCAGCCACACCCAGCAUUGCCCUUCCCAGCACCGUCCAGGAUGCGACGGGACUUGGACCCUCAGACACACCCCACGUGGCCUGACCCUGGGAGUAUGUGUGCCCUUUUGUGGAAAAAUGCACAAGGCCUGAGGCCUCAUGCUUAUGGCACCUCUUGCUUUGUGUCUCAAAGAGCAAUCUUGCCUCGCCUUCUCCUGCAGGUGGAGGGGGGUUGUCCAUGCAGGCCACUGUCCCUGCCCGACGCCUCCACUUUCUCAAAGGAAAUUGGGACACAGAAAACCCCUAGGUCUCUUGCUGCAAGUAUGACCAAUUUUGAAGUCACUGCUGCCCCGAUUCUUUUAGAAGCUUGGAUGAGAAAACUCUUCUAUCCCCAAUUUUCUGAAGGAAAUCUGAAAUUGAUCUUCAUCUCUGCACUAAUUUGGCACCUCAUAGCAGUGCCCGGGGAUAGCGCACCCUGUAUUAACCACCCCCUUCCGGCACACCCUCCCCUACUUGCACCCUGGGAUUGCUUUUAGUCAAGUGUUUCAGGAGAUGAAAUCAGCCUGCACUGAGAAGCAAUGUAAGGAACUACCUUGCAAAACUUGUCACUGGCUGUGUUUAGCGUAAAGACGGUGUUUCAUUUCAGCCAUUAUGUCCUCUCUAUGAGAAUUCAGGGGCUGCGUUUCUCUUUAGUCUCAGAAAUAGUCAUUUUUAUUGAGGGGCACUCAAUUUUUUAUGUGGAAGAAUUUGUUACUUUAUAUGGUUGCUUAAAAGCUUAGCACCACAUGGCAUAUCUUUUCUGUAUCAACCUCACCUCUGGUUUUAGAAUCUUUGUCUUCAUUUCUCUUGGCCUCAUCUUUUCAUUUCUUGUUUUCAAUUGGUUUUAUCUUGCUAAGGUGUAUGUAUCCUUACAAGCUGCCCUAAAUCUUUCGAUGAACAAAACCAGAGGUAAAUAACUAAGGUAUCCACAAGUUAUAUGUUCUACUUAUCUAAUAAUAUCAUGGCGGUGAUCUGGCUUUCCACGGAGAAUUUUCUAGAAGGAGAUAAUAUACUCAUCAGAGAGCUCAAGGAUCUCACCCGGCAGAUUGAGUUCUUAGUGCACAUUAAUAAAUGGACACUUGCGUUCAUGUAAGGGUCUCUUGUGGGCUUAGUGAUGGUGUGUCCCUCUCUGAGAAUGCCUGUCUUGCACUGUUUAUUCCCGCCACUGCUGAACACUAGACAUAUUAAUCCUCUUCCACUCCCUUGAACACAGCAAACUCUUUCCUUCAUCAGGGACUUUGCACAUAUAAAUUAUCUCUGCUCGGAAUGUCCUUCCUCCUUUUCUCUCCACACCCCUCUUUCUCAUCAUUAGAGCAGUAGCGGCACAUUAGAAUGAUUGAGGGUGUGUGUGUGUGUGUGUGUGUGUGUGUGUGUGUGUCUUAUUAAUACCCGGGCUCCAAAUGAGACAAAUUAAACUGAAAUCUCCAGGGGUGGAGCCUAGGUACUGGCAUUUUUUAAAAGCUUCUCAGAUGAUUCUAAUUUUUAGCCAGGACGGAGAAUCACAGCUGUAGGUCUCAGCUUAAAUGUUAGCUUCUUACAGAGGCCCUCGUUGGCCACCUCUAGGACACAGACAUUGUCACGCUCUCCAGCUCACCUUCUUCCCUGAUUCCUUUGUAAUAAUCACUACAAUUUGUAAUUGUUGCAUAUAUUUGAAUGUUUUUGUCCCUCAUCCUCCACCCCUCAAGUAAGACAUAGGUGCUGUGAGGACAGAAAAUAUAUCUGUCUUGGUCUUUGUGCUUUUCUUCUUGGUCUUUGUACAGUGUCAGGUGCAUAACAGGAUUCUGAGUCUACAAUGAUGAGGAUGACCCUCAAAUAAUACUACUGUUGUGUGGGGCCUCCUGGAAGCCAGUGAGGCUCCCUGGAAUAUUAUGAGAGAAUCCAUAUCGAUGCUCAGUGGCUAUUUUACUGCCAAAAUGGUUCCACACACUUUCCUCUUCCCUGACCCCUGUGUGCCAGGAUUUUUUCAAGUGAGAUCUAUAAAUAAAUCCUCAUUUGGAGCAUCUCUUUUAUGUCUGUGUCCUCCUUUAUUUGAUUUUGACCAUUGUAAGUGAGAGAUUCCAACUUGUUCAUCUUUGUGUUCCCACCCUACUCCAGUACCCGGCACUGAAUCUUACACAUAGCGGGGCUCCAUAGCUAUUUGUUGACUUGAAUGGAGUUGACUUUAUCUUUAUGGCAUGUAGAUAUUCUGACCAAGAUUUCACCCUGGGCAGUAGCAUUUAUGACUAUCCAGAGAUUUGAGGCAUGGGGGAUUGUGAGCACAUCAUGAAAGUUAAAUUUGUUGGUCUAGGCAACUUCACCAUAAUCUAAAUGCAGAUGGUCUCUACACCUGGAUUGCACAGAAGGACAAAACAAGUAAAUUUGUGUUUGGAGGCAGAUAAUGAAACUGUGAGGAGUCUGAAAACAACUCAGUGACCUACCUCAUAACACAGGUGCUGGUCCAAAAAAGGAUAAAUUCAUUGUGGGGCUGCUUGAGCUUUCGAUAUGGCUGAGUCAGUUCUUUCUAAAUUAUUAUUUGAUAGUUAUUAAUAAAUCAAAGCAAACCAUCCACCUACUGUUUUCCCUCCACAGUUAGUAUGUUCACCAAGUUGACGUUUAUGUUCUAAGGUACUUUUUUCCUAAGCUUAAAUUAACUAAGACCGGUUAGAGGAGUGGACAUUUUUUUCCCCCUUUCUUCUGCUUUAUUUCAUUUCCUUAAGGAAUCAUCUUGGUUUUUCACUCUUCCUUUCCUCAGUUUUACGUAGGUGUUGUGUUGGUGGGAAAUGGAAAGGCCUCUUAUCUGGGAAAGUUUUCAUAUUGUCAUGGAGAGAAAUGCAUGUGCGCGUGCGCGCACGCGCGCGCGCGCGCGCGCACACACACACACACACACACACACACACGCUCUCAUAAACCCACACAAAUGAAAUCCCCUCUUCAGAGGAGCCAGCUACAGGAAAUUGACUUAUGCACAGGAACUUGCUAAUCUCUAUUGUCACAUUCGGAUUGUUCCUGCCACCUCAGUCACCACGCACACUAAACCCAACCAUCUUGGGUUGGAUUCUCUACCAGCUCAACUCUUAUAGUGUUGGUUCUUCCAGUGUGAAUCAGCUAUAUCCUUGGGGAGGAAGGAAAAGAUCCCAGAGGAAUUUAUAACAGCGCUUGGGCAGCUUUUGCUUUUACUUACCUGCACUGAACAAAUUAACUUCCGGAGUCAGUCAUUUUGGUGUCAAGAAAUUUCUUUGGCAUUCUACAACAGGUCCAUUAGUUUCUCCUAAAGGGAGAAAUUCCACUGAAAUCAAGCCCAUCAGCCUUCCACACUGACUAUGGGACCCACAACGGCUCUUUUGUGGGUACAUGUGACACGCCGACUGGAGAUGAUCUCUCAUGUCUAUAUAGGGUAUUGCUCUAACAUGGACUGGAGCCCCUCCCCUCCCCUCUCCCAGCUCCAUAUUUAGCCAUCUGCUGAAGGCUACAUGUGUCAUCAAAGUUUAUCAUCUGCCUUUACUGCUAUGGAGUAAUACAGAGGUUUACGUUCUUGUUUUCACCGAGGCAGUUCCCGAAGUGGCUGGGGUCCAUUAGAAACUGAAGCUGCUGUCUGCUGCCUUCUCCACUUCUUGGAGCAGAAGCCAAAAGAGAGCUGUUUGAAGACGCCACAUUCACACAUCAGUUGAAGACUAGCCGUUGAAGGUUUUCAACGUAGAUUGUGUCUCCCUCGGAUGGACGAGGAGAAUUGCUGUCAGGGGUCCUGAGAAACCCCAUCUGGUUUUCAUUCCUUGUGUUGAAUGGCAUUUGCUUCAACAGCCCACUGAGGGCCCUUUUACUUGGGAUUCUGAACUUGUAACCCAGAAUCCAGGCUGGGAAGAUG
Molecule: RNA transcript, 4459 nt
Organism: Leopardus geoffroyi (Geoffroy's cat)
Lineage: Eukaryota; Metazoa; Chordata; Mammalia; Carnivora; Felidae
Gene: RHOH
Gene name: ras homolog family member H
Exons: 4
Source: RefSeq, a predicted model, not a curated record